GUGAGGAAUAUUGCGCAAUGGAGGCAACUCUGACGCAGCCAUGCCGCGUGCAGGAAGAAGGCGCUACGCGUUGUAAACUGCUUUUAACCGGGAAGAAACCCCAGGACGUGUCCUGGGUUGACGGUACCGGAGGAAUAAGCACCGGCUAACUUCGUGCCAGCAGCCGCGGUAAUACGAAGGGUGCAAGCGUUAUCCGGAUUCAUUGGGUUUAAAGGGUGCGUAGGCGGAGCGUUAAGUCAGUGGUGAAAUCCUGCAGCUUAACUGUAGACUUGCCAUAGAUACUGGCGCUCUUGAGUGCGCUUGAAGUGGGCGGAAUGUGCCGUGUAGCGGUGAAAUGCUUAGAUAUGGCACAGAACACCAAUUGCGAAGGCAGCUCACUAAGGCGAUACUGACGCUGGGGCACGAAAGCGUGGGGAUCGAACAGGAUUAGAUACCCUGGUAGUCC
This 445-nucleotide ribosomal RNA is filed under the name uncultured bacterium. Its description in RNAcentral is "partial 16S ribosomal RNA". It matches the Rfam family "Bacterial small subunit ribosomal RNA", at positions 354 to 796 of the family's 1533-position model. The record is from RNAcentral.